Molecule: ribosomal RNA, 460 nt
Filed under: uncultured bacterium
Lineage: Bacteria
Description: partial 16S ribosomal RNA
Rfam family: Bacterial small subunit ribosomal RNA
Source: RNAcentral
CCUACGGGCGGCAGCAGUGAGGAAUAUUGGUCAAUGGGCGCGAGCCUGAACCAGCCAAGUAGCGUGAAGGAUGACUGCCCUACGGGUUGUAAACUUCUUUUGUAAAGGCAUAAAGUGAGGCACGUGUACCUUUUUGUAUGUACUUUAUGAAUAAGGAUCGGCUAACUCCGUGCCAGCAGCCGCGGGAAUACGGAGGAUCCGGGCGUUGUUCGGAUUUAUUGGGGUUAAAGGGAGCGUAGAUGGGUUUUUAAGUCAGUUGGGAAAGUUUGCGGGUCAACCGUAGAAUUGCAAUUGAUACUGGCAGCCUUGAGUACAGUAGAGGUAGGCGGAAUUCGUGGUGUAGCGGUGAAAUGCUUAGAUAUCACGAAGAACUCCGAUUGCGAAGGCAGCCUACUAAACUGCCACUGACAUUGAUGCUCGAAAGUGUGGGUAUCAAACAGGAUUAGAUACCCCUGUAGUC